UGAAAAGCAAUGAUCGGGAAAAGUAAACAAUGCAUGAGCCGAAAGGGAGUCCGCGCCUUGACUGAAAGCGCAGAUGGGUAAAUGAUUGUCGAAGUUCACCCCGUGAGCUGCCGCCAGGACCAGCGUAAGCUGUAAAGGUGUGCCGGUGCCGGACCGUUAUUCCGAUUUGAGUGAUCAUAUCUUCGGGUAUGAUAAUCAGGGUGGUACCGCGAAAUCGUCCUCGUCCCUUUU
RNAcentral lists this non-coding RNA (231 nucleotides) under Sporosarcina psychrophila. RNAcentral describes it as "T-box sequence". It matches the Rfam family "T-box leader". Rfam says of the family: Uncharged tRNA acts as the effector for transcription antitermination of genes in the T-box leader family. Lineage: Bacteria; Bacillati; Bacillota; Bacilli; Caryophanales; Caryophanaceae. The record is from RNAcentral.